AAGAACUUGACAACAGAUGCGCUGGGUGUGAUUCUUGAGAAAAAGGAAGCACACAAAGUGAGCUCUCUCCAAGGCUACUUUCUAAACCGUGACAUGGGGAAGUGAAACCCAAACCAAGAGCGGUGGCCUUGCUGGACUAAUGAAACCCAUUGAAGGCUGCAGCUGGAAUUGGCGAGCAGGGCCUGAGGUUAUUGGUUCACUUAUGGCCUUAACCCCAGGUUAGCGAAGAGAUAUUCAGCUUUAUAAUCAGAGGAGGGCAACAUGUUCUGGAUCUCAACUUCAUGAGAGAGAACAAGCACAAAAUCUGAGCUUGUAAGGCCUCCAGCCAGGCCUCUCCUUGCUGCUGUGCUCAUCUUGUUGGCUGUGAGUCUCCCGCGGGAUCUGUUCUUAUUCUUGACCCUCCUGGAUAAAAUCAAGAUUUCCCAGAGGAUGUAUUACGGCAAUAAAACUGAACAUUUUUAUAUUUGG
Molecule: non-coding RNA, 468 nt
Organism: Equus caballus (horse)
Lineage: Eukaryota; Metazoa; Chordata; Mammalia; Perissodactyla; Equidae
Source: RefSeq, a predicted model, not a curated record